UACAGAGGUCCCAAGCGUUGUUCGGAUUCAUUGGGCGUAAAGGGUGCGUAGGUGGCGUGGUAAGUCGGGUGUGAAAUUUCGGAGCUUAACUCCGAAACUGCAUUCGAUACUGCCGUGCUUGAGGACUGGAGAGGAGACUGGAAUUUACGGUGUAGCAGUGAAAUGCGUAGAGAUCGCAAGGAAGACCAGUGGCGAAGGCGGGUCUCUGGACAGUUCCUGACACUGAGGCACGAAGGCCAGGGGAGCAAACGGG
This 253-nucleotide ribosomal RNA is filed under the name uncultured bacterium. RNAcentral describes it as "partial 16S ribosomal RNA". It matches the Rfam family "Bacterial small subunit ribosomal RNA", at positions 524 to 776 of the family's 1533-position model. The record is from RNAcentral.